Molecule: ribosomal RNA, 253 nt
Filed under: uncultured bacterium
Lineage: Bacteria
Description: partial 16S ribosomal RNA
Rfam family: Bacterial small subunit ribosomal RNA
Source: RNAcentral
UACGGGGGGAGCAAGCGUUGUUCGGAAUUACUGGGCGUAAAGGGCUCGUAGGUGGCCAACUAAGUCAGACGUGAAAUCCCUCAGCUUAACUGGGGAACUGCGUCUGAUACUGGAUGGCUUGAGUUUGGGAGAGGGAUGCGGAAUUCCAGGUGUAGCGGUGAAAUGCGUAGAUAUCUGGAGGAACACCGGUGGCGAAGGCGGCAUCCUGGACCAAUACUGACACUGAGGAGCGAAAGCCAGGGGAGCAAACGGG